RNAcentral lists this unclassified non-coding RNA (324 nucleotides) under Bombus terrestris (buff-tailed bumblebee). RNAcentral's name for it is "misc RNA ENSBTSG00005026080.1". The record is from RNAcentral. Lineage: Eukaryota; Metazoa; Arthropoda; Insecta; Hymenoptera; Apidae.
UCCGGUCCAAGAAAGGGUUUUUGUGUCGUAAGCCACGGGACAGAAACCGUUGGAAAGUUUGCUGUCGAGUGCCACUACAAAUGUUUAAAUCCAAAGGAAAUUAAUGGAAACCAAUCAAAGUUGGAGCGUAGAAAGCGCGCAGUUCGUGAAAGAUCCUACGUCGCAAAAUCACAGUGGAAAGGAAAGGUUUCGUCCGAUUCUGGGCAGGAAUUUCGGUCGUUAAGUUUAAUUGGCUGCCGCGGCGAAUAAAUUUUCACGCGUAAAGUCCCUCGAUAACGACGACGAUUGCGCAAUCGUCGUAAUUCAUUCGCAGUUGCUUUCUCG